GCAGGGAAAUACAUUCGGUG
This 20-nucleotide small RNA is filed under the name Arabidopsis thaliana (thale cress). RNAcentral's name for it is "ATSL138940". The record is from RNAcentral. Lineage: Eukaryota; Viridiplantae; Streptophyta; Magnoliopsida; Brassicales; Brassicaceae.